Molecule: transfer-messenger RNA, 372 nt
Filed under: Bacilli
Lineage: Bacteria; Bacillati; Bacillota
Also listed under: 1 other name
Description: UBA5455 sp012518415 Standard tmRNA
Rfam family: transfer-messenger RNA
About the family: Bacterial tmRNA, also known as 10Sa RNA or SsrA, is named for its dual tRNA and mRNA-like properties. Its role is to liberate the mRNA from a stalled ribosome.
Source: RNAcentral
GGGGAUGUUUUGGCAUUUGACAGGGAUUGGUUUGGCAUUAGUUGCAGCCGAGUUGUGACGUAAUCACUACCCAAAGAUAUCUGGCAACAGAAAUCAUUCUAGCUACGCAUUUGCGUAGUGAUGCUGAAGUAGGUCGGUUGACCCUCAGCCCGCUCAUAACAUAGGUUUGUCUUUUACUAAGUUAAAUGAGUGUCACUUUAAAAGACUUAAGCGCUUAUGCGGGGUUAACGUAUAGGCGAUGAAAAUGAUUGUAACCUCGUUGAUGACUGUUUGUCGAAAACAUCACAUCAAUUAAAUCUUAACUUCGACUAAGCUGUAGAUCUAGUGUGGGGCUAUCUUUGGACCGGAGUUCGACUCUCCGCAUCUCCACCA